AAAGGAGCUAUCCCAGGAGGAAUCCUGCACCUUGUAGCCACUUCCCAGUGGAGAGGGCUUCAGCAGAAGGCUUUGAAGAGCUGGCCGGCUACCCGCAGGCUCCCAGAGCCUUCCCGCUUCCCGACUGCAGAGCACUGGCACAGAAACCCGGGCACCCCCGCUCUGCCAGCUUCCUGAGAAAGGGUAAUGUGCUCUUCAAGCUUAGCAGCUUCUGGGGCAAGCAUUUGCACAGAAACGUCCAUCAUGUGCUGCACUGGAAGUUGGUCAAACGUGGACGUUUUAUUUUAAUUUUUUCUUCCCCAAAUCCAUGAUUGCUUUUGGAAGCUGGAGGAAGGGUGCUUUGCAUCUAAGGGUUUCUCAGAAGUACUCUGCAGUGGCUUAGUCCUGCUGCCACUGAUCUCAGCUGGAAAAGCAUCUGGCACUGAGGACUUGCGUGUUCCUGCUCCUGGGACCUCCAGGCCGCCUCCUGUGCACACGGCAGCAUGUCAAUUUUUGGCUCCAACGUGGAUUGCAACAACAGUGUAAUAUAGCACUUGGUUAGGCCUAAUUAGCACACUGAAAGCUAGCUCUGGUUCUUCCACGUUACUUGUACUGGUGUGCAGAUUUAUCCUGUAUUUUUGCAAUUUGCUCUAAGGGAAAUGGAGUAAUAUCCUUCACCUUAUCCAGAGUUGAAGCACUGCUUUUAACCAUGUGCAGUGACUUGCAUCCUGGAGCUUUAAUUGCACCUGGGACCUGUGCACAAUCUAAUGCAGAAUAAUCACCUGAUGCUAACUGGCUCUGUGUGUCCAUUCAGGACCAGACCUGCUGUGCUCCAUGCUCCUUCCUAAUGAAAUUACUACUGAUCUGUUAGUGCUGUUUUCUUUUCUU
Nothoprocta perdicaria is the source of this 867-nucleotide long non-coding RNA. RefSeq lists it as uncharacterized. The transcript is spliced from 2 exons. Lineage: Eukaryota; Metazoa; Chordata; Aves; Tinamiformes; Tinamidae. The record is from RefSeq and is a predicted model, not a curated record.